GACGAACGCUGGCGGCGUGCUUAACACAUGCAAGUCGAACGGUGAAGCGCCUUCCUUUUUGGUGGGAGUGGAUGAGCGGCGAACGGGUGAGUAACACGUGAGUAACCUGCCCCCUUUUUCUGGACAACCGCAUGAAAGUGUGGCUAAUACGGGAUAUUCUGGGCCUGUCGCAUGAUGGGUCUGGGACAGAUAUUGUUUCGGUGGGGGAUGGGCUCGCGCCGCAUUAGCUUGUUGGUGAGGUAAUGGCUUACCAAGGCGGUGAUGGGUAGCCGGCCUGAGAGGGUGAUCGGCCACAGUGGAAGUGAGACACGGGUCAGACUCCUAAGGGAGGCAGAAGUAGGGAACGUGCCGCAAUGGGCGAAAGACUGACGGAGCAACGCAGCGUGAGUGAUGAAGGUCGUCGGAUUGUAAAAAUGGGGUAUGAGGGAAGAACAAAUGUGUAAGUAAAUAUGCACGUCUUGACGGUAGCUAAUAAGAAAGCCACGGCUAACUACGUG
This 497-nucleotide ribosomal RNA is filed under the name uncultured bacterium. RNAcentral describes it as "partial 16S ribosomal RNA". It matches the Rfam family "Bacterial small subunit ribosomal RNA", at positions 28 to 507 of the family's 1533-position model. The record is from RNAcentral.